RNAcentral lists this long non-coding RNA (495 nucleotides) under Anser cygnoides (Swan goose). RNAcentral describes it as "lncRNA (ENSACDG00005001898.1)". Lineage: Eukaryota; Metazoa; Chordata; Aves; Anseriformes; Anatidae. The record is from RNAcentral.
AUGCAUGUGGCAUCCAAUAAAGUUAGUGCAAUAGAUGUGCAAGUGCAAAAACAAAUCAAAAGCUUUUCAGUCUGUGUGAUUACUGCAAUGCAGCCGAAGGGACAGGGAAGGCACAGGACUUUCAAAACUAAGAAGGAUGGAUCUCUUUGGAAUUCCAUAUUCCACGCACAACAGCACCCUGUGGAAGGAGCAGAAGAGACUGACGGAGUCUGUUCUAGAGAAGAGAAAAGACUAGACCAGAAGAUCUUGUGGUCUUCCAUUUGUCCUUCAGUGGCCUUGCUAGGAACGUCAUUCCUUCUGCAAAUUCAUCCAUUACCACUCUUUCCUGCAAGCCCAAGUGGUGAAUUUCAGAACAUGAAGUGGAAAAUCAGGUUCUUCGUGAUCUGUCCUUUUUUUCCUCAUUCUGAUAUCCUGAUCAAGAAAUCAGAGAAAACAUCCCCAGGAGAUUAUGUUAUAAACACAAGCUAUGUACCGGUCUUUGAGAUUGACACAUGA